UGUUGGGUAGGGGAGCGUUCUGUAAGCCUGCGAAGGUGUGCUGUGAGGCAUGCUGGAGGUAUCAGAAGUGCGAAUGCUGACAUAAGUAACGAUAAAGCGGGUGAAAAGCCCGCUCGCCGGAAGACCAAGGGUUCCUGUCCAACGUUAAUCGGGGCAGGGUGAGUCGACCCCUAAGGCGAGGCCGAAAGGCGUAGUCGAUGGGAAACAGGUUAAUAUUCCUGUACUUGGUGUUACUGCGAAGGGGGGACGGAGAAGGCUAUGUUGGCCGGGCGACGGUUGUCCCGGUUUAAGCGUGUAGGCUGGUUUUCCAGGCAAAUCCGGAAAAUCAAGGCUGAGGCGUGAUGACGAGGCACUACGGUGCUGAAGCAACAAAUGCCCUGCUUCCAGGAAAAGCCUCUAAGCAUCAGGUAACAUCAAAUCGUACCCCAAACCGACACAGGUGGUCAGGUAGAGAAUACCAAGGCGCUUGAGAGAACUCGGGUGAAGGAACUAGGCAAAAUGGUGCCGUAACUUCGGGAGAAGGCACGCUGAUAUGUAGGUGAAGUCCCUUGCGGAUGGAGCUGAAAUCAGUCGAAGAUACCAGCUGGCUGCAACUGUUUAUUAAAAACACAGCACUGUGCAAACACGAAAGUGGACGUAUACGGUGUGACGCCUGCCCGGUGCCGGAAGGUUAAUUGAUGGGGUCAGCGCAAGCGAAGCUCUUGAUCGAAGCCCCGGUAAACGGCGGCCGUAACUAUAACGGUCCUAAGGUAGCGAAAUUCCUUGUCGGGUAAGUUCCGACCUGCACGAAUGGCGUAAUGAUGGCCAGGCUGUCUCCACCCGAGACUCAGUGAAAUUGAACUCGCUGUGAAGAUGCAGUGUACCCGCGGCAAGACGGAAAGACCCCGUGAACCUUUACUAUAGCUUGACACUGAACAUUGAGCCUUGAUGUGUAGGAUAGGUGGGAGGCUUGGAAGUGUGGACGCCAGUCUGCAUGGAGCCGACCUUGAAAUACCACCCUUUAAUGUUUGAUGUUCUAACGUUGACCCGUAAUCCGGGUUGCGGACAGUGUCUGGUGGGUAGUUUGACUGGGGCGGUCUCCUCCUAAAGAGUAACGGAGGAGCACGAAGGUUGGCUAAUCCUGGUCGGACAUCAGGAGGUUAGUGCAAUGGCAUAAGCCAGCUUGACUGCGAGCGUGACGGCGCGAGCAGGUGCGAAAGCAGGUCAUAGUGAUCCGGUGGUUCUGAAUGGAAGGGCCAUCGCUCAACGGAUAAAAGGUACUCCGGGGAUAACAGGCUGAUACCGCCCAAGAGUUCAUAUCGACGGCGGUGUUUGGCACCUCGAUGUCGGCUCAUCACAUCCUGGGGCUGAAGUAGGUCCCAAGGGUAUGGCUGUUCGCCAUUUAAAGUGGUACGCGAGCUGGGUUUAGAACGUCGUGAGACAGUUCGGUCCCUAUCUGCCGUGGGCGCUGGAGAACUGAGGGGGGCUGCUCCUAGUACGAGAGGACCGGAGUGGACGCAUCACUGGUGUUCGGGUUGUCAUGCCAAUGGCACUGCCCGGUAGCUAAAUGCGGAAGAGAUAAGUGCUGAAAGCAUCUAAGCACGAAACUUGCCCCGAGAUGAGUUCUCCCUGACCCUUUAAGGGUCCUGAAGGAACGUUGAAGACGACGACGUUGAUAGGCCGGGUGUGUAAGCGCAGCGAUGCGUUGAGCUAACCGGUACUAAUGAACCGUGAGGCUUAACCUU
RNAcentral lists this ribosomal RNA (1724 nucleotides) under Escherichia coli MS 196-1. Its description in RNAcentral is "bacterial LSU rRNA". It matches the Rfam family "Bacterial large subunit ribosomal RNA", at positions 1222 to 2925 of the family's 2925-position model. The record is from RNAcentral. Lineage: Bacteria; Pseudomonadati; Pseudomonadota; Gammaproteobacteria; Enterobacterales; Enterobacteriaceae.